RNAcentral lists this ribosomal RNA (808 nucleotides) under Arthrobacter sp. JYC6. RNAcentral describes it as "bacterial SSU rRNA". It matches the Rfam family "Bacterial small subunit ribosomal RNA", at positions 55 to 876 of the family's 1533-position model. The record is from RNAcentral. Lineage: Bacteria; Bacillati; Actinomycetota; Actinomycetes; Micrococcales; Micrococcaceae.
AUGCGAGUCGAACGAUGAUCCCAGCUUGCUGGGGGAUUAGUGGCGAACGGGUGAGUAACACGUGAGUAACCUGCCCUUGACUCUGGGAUAAGCCUGGGAAACUGGGUCUAAUACCGGAUAUGACUCCUCAUCGCAUGGUGGGGGGUGGAAAGCUUUUGUGGUUUUGGAUGGACUCGCGGCCUAUCAGCUUGUUGGUGGGGUAAUGGCCUACCAAGGCGACGACGGGUAGCCGGCCUGAGAGGGUGACCGGCCACACUGGGACUGAGACACGGCCCAGACUCCUACGGGAGGCAGCAGUGGGGAAUAUUGCACAAUGGGCGCAAGCCUGAUGCAGCGACGCCGCGUGAGGGAUGACGGCCUUCGGGUUGUAAACCUCUUUCAGUAGGGAAGAAGCGUAAGUGACGGUACCUGCAGAAGAAGCGCCGGCUAACUACGUGCCAGCAGCCGCGGUAAUACGUAGGGCGCAAGCGUUAUCCGGAAUUAUUGGGCGUAAAGAGCUCGUAGGCGGUUUGUCGCGUCUGCUGUGAAAGACCGGGGCUCAACUCCGGUUCUGCAGUGGGUACGGGCAGACUAGAGUGCAGUAGGGGAGACUGGAAUUCCUGGUGUAGCGGUGAAAUGCGCAGAUAUCAGGAGGAACACCGAUGGCGAAGGCAGGUCUCUGGGCUGUAACUGACGCUGAGGAGCGAAAGCAUGGGGAGCGAACAGGAUUAGAUACCCUGGUAGUCCAUGCCGUAAACGUUGGGCACUAGGUGUGGGGGACAUUCCACGUUUUCCGCGCCGUAGCUAACGCAUUAAGUGCCCCGCCUGG